GAUGAACGCUGGCGGCGUGCUUAACACAUGCCAGUCGAACGAUGAAGCCCAGCUUGCUGGGUGGAUUAGUGGCGAACGGGUGAGUAACACGUGAGUAACCUGCCCUUAACUCUGGGAUAAGCCUGGGAAACUGGGUCUAAUACCGGAUAGGAGCGUCCACCGCAUGGUGGGUGUUGGAAAGAUUUAUCGGUUUUGGAUGGACUCGCGGCCUAUCAGCUUGUUGGUGAGGUAAGGGCUCACCAAGGCGACGACGGGUAGCCGGCCUGAGAGGGUGACCGGCCACACUGGGACUGAGACACGGCCCAGACUCCUACGGGAGGCAGCAGUGGGGAAUAUUGCACAAUGGGCGCAAGCCUGAUGCAGCGGCGCCGCGUGGGGGAUGACGGCCUUCGGGUUGUAAACCUCUUUCAGUAGGGAAGAAGCGAAAGUGACGGUACCUGCAGAAGAAGCACCGGCUAACUACGUG
Molecule: ribosomal RNA, 466 nt
Filed under: uncultured bacterium
Lineage: Bacteria
Description: partial 16S ribosomal RNA
Rfam family: Bacterial small subunit ribosomal RNA
Source: RNAcentral